UACCAGCCCAGAGAUGGUCCUACUCA
This 26-nucleotide unclassified non-coding RNA is filed under the name Mus musculus (house mouse). Its description in RNAcentral is "oocyte_clustered_small_RNA7642". Lineage: Eukaryota; Metazoa; Chordata; Mammalia; Rodentia; Muridae. The record is from RNAcentral.